This 1443-nucleotide long non-coding RNA is filed under the name Nothobranchius furzeri (turquoise killifish). RNAcentral describes it as "lncRNA (ENSNFUG00015012058.1)". The record is from RNAcentral. Lineage: Eukaryota; Metazoa; Chordata; Actinopteri; Cyprinodontiformes; Nothobranchiidae.
GCGACUCUUUUUGGGAACCUUCAUGGUCAGGAGCUGAAAACUGUGGUGUCCACCACGGAGCUGCAGAUGACCAGAGGAACGGUAAGGGCCUGCUCAUCUCACUGUAGAUAAAUAAAACCAUAGAAACCAGCUGAAUGACUGCUGGUUUGUCCAGUUCCUUCACAAGCUGACAGCACGGGCGUUGAUUCGGGACUACGAAGACGGGAGUCUUGAUACGAACGAAGCUCAACACGAGGUACGUUUACGUCUGAGUGUCCUUGCUAUCCAUAUCCUGUCUCAGCUUGACCCGCUUACUCAUGUUUCCAGGAGAAGAAAGCAGAGCUGAAGUCCUUCAUCAUUGAGCUGAGUAGAGAAUGGUCCAUCCUGUCUCAGUUCACCAGCUUUGUGGCCGUCGAGGAGAGGGACUCCGAGCAAGCUGAAGACGGCAUCACCGAUGUCAACAAGCUGAUUGCAGAGGAAGAUGUGGACUUCCUGCCAUACAUUGGCUGGGCCAUCAGUCAGCAGGACGAUGACAUCCUGGUGUCCAACUACUAUCUGUCACUGGAUUUAAAACCUACAGAUUCCAGUUUUGACUGGGAGUCUCCCACUCCUACAGGAGAAGGUUAUGAAGCCGACUUCUUUGAACCUGAUCGUCUGUGUCUCAUGGAACCAGAGCUUCACUGCCUUCCCUCAGCUGUUGGUGCUGAAGCAGCAUCUGCAGCUCUUGGUCUCCGCUUCAAACGUUCUGGUCCAGACUCUCCAAGCCCACCUGCUCCUGGCAUCCAUCUGAACUCUGCUGAUUUUUCUGGAAGUUCGGAGUUCCUCUUUAAACGUCUCACUCCUUCAUACAGCUCGUCUGCACCAUCUUUCAGUUUUGGAUCCACUGCUGCUCCUCCUCCUCCUUUUGCUGCUCAAUCUUCCCAGCCUGCUCCUCCUCCUCAUCCUCCUCAUCCUUUUGCUGCUCAAUCAUCCCAGCCUGCUCCUCUUCCUCCUGUGUUACUAUCCACUGCGGGCCCUCCUCCCCCUUUUGCUGCUCAAUCAUCCCAGCCUGCUCCUCCUCCUCCUUUUGCUGCUCAAUCAUCCCAUCCUGCUCCUCCUCCUCCUUUUGCUGCUCAAUCAUCCCAGCCUGCUCCUCCUCCUGUGUUACGAUCCACUGCCGGUCCUCCUCCUCCUCNNNNNNNNNNNNNNNNNNNNNNNNNNNNNNNNNNNNNNNNNNNNNNNNNNNNNNNNNNNNNNNNNNCCUGCUCCUCCUCCUCCUUUUGCUGCUCAAUCAUCCCAGCCUGCUCCUCCUCCUCCUUUUGCUGCUCAAUCAUCCCAUCCUGCUCCUCCUCCUCCUUUUGCUGCUCAAUCAUCCCAGCCUGCUCCUCCUCCUGUGUUACGAUCCACUGCCGGUCCUCCUCCUCCUUUUGCUGCUCAAUCAUCCCAGCCUGCUCCUCCUCUUCCUCCUGUGUUACGAUCCCCUGA